UCUUCCUGAGGGAUCCACCUGGACA
RNAcentral lists this non-coding RNA (25 nucleotides) under Cricetulus griseus (Chinese hamster). The record is from RNAcentral. Lineage: Eukaryota; Metazoa; Chordata; Mammalia; Rodentia; Cricetidae.